Molecule: ribosomal RNA, 253 nt
Filed under: uncultured bacterium
Lineage: Bacteria
Description: partial 16S ribosomal RNA
Rfam family: Bacterial small subunit ribosomal RNA
Source: RNAcentral
UACGGAGGGGGCUAGCGUUGUUCGGAAUUACUGGGCGUAAAGGGCGCGUAGGCGGCCAUUUAAGUCGGAGGUGAAAGCCCAGGGCUCAACCCUGGAAUUGCCUUCGAUACUGUUUGGCUAGAGACCGGAAGAGGUAAGUGGAACUGCGAGUGUAGAGGUGAAAUUCGUAGAUAUUCGCAAGAACACCAGUGGCGAAGGCGGCUUACUGGUCCGGUACUGGCGCUGAGGCGCGAAAGCGUGGGGAGCAAACAGG